This 773-nucleotide ribosomal RNA is filed under the name Candidatus Regiella insecticola. Its description in RNAcentral is "bacterial SSU rRNA". It matches the Rfam family "Bacterial small subunit ribosomal RNA", at positions 76 to 842 of the family's 1533-position model. The record is from RNAcentral. Lineage: Bacteria; Pseudomonadati; Pseudomonadota; Gammaproteobacteria; Enterobacterales; Enterobacteriaceae.
UAGCUUGCUACUCUGCCGGCGAGCGGCGGACGGGUGAGUAAAGUCUGGGRAUCUGGCUUAUGGAGGGGGAUAACCAUUGGAAACGGUGGCUAAUACCGCAUGAUGUCGCAAGACCAAAGUGGGGGACCUUARGGCCUCACGCCAUGAGAUGAACCCAGAUGAGAUUAGCUAGUAGGUGCGGUAAUGGCGUACCUAGGCGACGAUCUCUAGCUGGUCUGAGAGGAUGACCAGCCACACUGGAACUGAGAGACGGUCCAGACUCCUACGGGAGGCAGCAGUGGGGAAUAUUGCACAAUGGGCGGAAGCCUGAUGCAGCCAUGCCGCGUGUGUGAAGAAGGCCUUAGGGUUGUAAAGCACUUUCAGCGGGGAGGAAGGCGGUAAGAGUAAUAUGCUUAUCRAUUGACGUUACCCGCAAAAGAAGCACCGGCUAACUCCGUGCCAGCAGCCGCGGUAAUACGGAGGGUGCGAGCGUUAAUCGGAAUAACUGGGCGUAAAGRGCAUGUAGGCGGUAAGUUAAGUCAGAUGUGAAAUCCCCGAGCUUAACUUGGGAACGGCAUUUGAGACUGGCUGGCUAGAGUUUUGUAGAGGGGGGUAGAAUUCCAGGUGUAGCGGUGAAAUGCGUAGAGAUCUGGAGGAAUACCGGUGGCGAAGGCGGCCCCCUGGACAAGGACUGACGCUGAGGUGCGAAAGCGUGGGUAGCAAACAGGAUUAGAUACCCUGGUAGUCCACGCUGUAAACGAUGUCGAUUUGGAGGUUGUGACCUAGUGUUAUGG